Long non-coding RNA from Myxocyprinus asiaticus (Chinese sucker), 1458 nucleotides. RefSeq lists it as uncharacterized. The record is from RefSeq and is a predicted model, not a curated record. The transcript has 3 exons. Lineage: Eukaryota; Metazoa; Chordata; Actinopteri; Cypriniformes; Catostomidae.
GUUCCGGGUUAUAGCGGACGCAGUCUGUAUUUUAUCAUCUCACACCCAAACAAAUGAGAGAGUAACAUGUGAGAGACGAAACUGAUGUUGUGCCGCUUCACUUGACAGCGCGGGAAGGAUCACUGAAGAUCCAUCGAGAACAGAUAGGCUACUAAUAGCUGAAUGGAUGAACGUGCUUCAGUUGCGACAGCUACAACACCUGUGUUAUUUGACCUGCCCUCUGUCGCUGCUACCAAGGUGUGACCAUUUCCCAACUCAAGCAGCAAAUAUUUGCAGAAGCCUUUGGCAAAUUCUUCACAUGUGCAUGACACGGAGUUACUAGGGUCUGCACAGCUCCUGGCUUCCGUCCUUAGGAUGUCAGCCUCUGGCUGUGAAGAAUAUGGGGGAGGGAGAAGAGGGUUGCUGGGUACCCUGAGUACAUCAAACAUCUGUGUCCUUGGUCCGCAGAGCAACACCUUUCCACUUAUCUUCCUCAUAACAAAGCAAUGAAGUAGGCUGGGGUUUUCGGGCCAUUGAUGCAACGCUCCUGAAAAAGUGCAGUGCCUGUUCCCAGCUUAUUGGAUGCCGUGUCUCGUUACGUCCACAUGAAAUGUCCUAAGCGGAUGUCUCCCUGCCCCAUUUCUAUCUUUCUCAUUUCUUAUGAAGGAUCCUCCAGGAAACAAGAACAGCUCAAAGGGAGUGGUGCAGGGGUCAGAAUAUGCCCUUGCAAUAUUUUUUUUCUGCAGCAUGUAAUGUCAGCUUGUACAUUAACAAAAGAGUGCAACAGCGCAGUCAGAGGUGUUAUUGGGCAGAGUAUGAGCAGAGCGACAGGAGAGUCCUUACAAGAAAACAUAAUCAUUAAAAGUACUAUAAAAUAGUACUUCCGUUCAUGUCCAUAUGGGCCUAACAUAUUCAAAACCUUAUACUUAAAGGUGCUCUCAAUAUUAUUUUUAUUUUUUUUCCGUUUAUGUUGUCCUAGCAGUCAUCUUAUACUGACACCUAGUGGCAUGGAUGAAGCAUCAUGCAAAAGUUUGACUGAUUCCAUUGUAGAAAAGCGCUAUUAGAAGUGAGCCAUGAUUCAUUUAUUUGAAAGUGAAAGGGUCAGAUAAUAGUGGGAUUACCAAGAUAAAUUACAGAGUAUGCGGCUGGUCAUGUGAUCUUAACAUGUCCCAGUCCAUGUAAAAUAAAACGGCUUUUAUUAGGCUAUUGAUAUAACUGGAGUUGUCAGAGUCUGUCUCCCUAAUUUUCUUCAAGGACUCUUAUUUUGAAGUUUUCCCCUGCACUACAUCUCCCAGUAUCCACUGCCCUCAUCACUUCCAUCUGUUCCUUAUUAUCCUCACCUGUAUUCCAUUCCCUCAUUUAGUUCUUUGUGUAUAAAUACCCUCUAGUUUUGUUAAUUGAUUUGUCAGUCCUUGAAGUGUUACAUUGAGUUAUUGAAGUGUUACGUUGUGUAGUUGGUUUGUAAUGUUUAUUGUUUGU